This 71-nucleotide transfer RNA is filed under the name Anneissia japonica. Its description in RNAcentral is "tRNA-Gly". It matches the Rfam family "tRNA". Rfam says of the family: Transfer RNA (tRNA) molecules are approximately 80 nucleotides in length. Their secondary structure includes four short double-helical elements and three loops (D, anti-codon, and T loops). Lineage: Eukaryota; Metazoa; Echinodermata; Crinoidea; Comatulida; Comatulidae. The record is from RNAcentral.
GCUUCGGUGGUUCAGUGGUAGAAUUCUCGCCUUCCACGCGGGGGACCCGUGUUCAAUUCCCGGCUGAUGCA